GUCGCCUCUUGUCGUUUCAUUUCGUUCAGUUCCGACUCGUUUUCGUCUUUCGACUGAGGCUUUUGUCACCGAAUCUUUUUACUCACUUAUUAGUCUGGCUGGCAACGAGCCACUGAACUGAACUGUUUUGUUCUGUUGGCCGCAUCGGUCCGACGGCUUCGCAAUGAAAACUUAACUACGGGACGCCUUCUACAAAAAAAAAAUAAAAUAAAUAGCAUAAUCUAUUCAAGCAUGUGGCUUCAAGAUUUCUUUGUAUUUCAAUUGAACAGCAAUAAAGGCGUUGAGACUGUGGCAAUAAGAAGCAGCAUCAGCUACUAAUCGACUACAACAACAAUCAUAAAUCAUCAUCAUCUACGCGCAGCACGCAACAAAAACAACAACCACAAGAAGAAGAAAUCAGCAAUUGAGCUGCAAGCAAACGAGAAGAAAGCAAAAGAAUUCACAUUAAUCAUACGCCGCGUGUGCCGCGCAUUAGAACACGCCCUGUAAAAUUGCCAUCGAUAUGUUUGCCAAAAAGCCGCACAAUGCGCCGCGCACUUGACACGCGUUGAGUUACCGUUACAGUUACAGCAAUUGCGAUUGUCAAUCAAUCAAUCAAUUGGUCAAUUUUCUAGCGACUUUCUUUCGUUGUGUUUGUUUUCAUUUAGUUUUUCAUUCGUUUUUUGUCUAAGUUUCGCAUUGUUAUCGAAGUGCCGCAUGUGGGUGUCCGGGCUAAUAACGUUAACUGGCAGCUACAACUGCAAUAAAAACAACAACAACUAUACUAACAA
This is a long non-coding RNA of Drosophila innubila, 770 nucleotides long. RefSeq lists it as uncharacterized. Lineage: Eukaryota; Metazoa; Arthropoda; Insecta; Diptera; Drosophilidae. The record is from RefSeq and is a predicted model, not a curated record. The transcript has 2 exons.